ACCCCAUCUUUUCACCUAAAAAAUAAAUGGUUUUUCUUUCUUUCUUUGUUUUGAGUUUUUUUUAUUUGUUUUCAGAAUUCAGAGUGUAUAUAUAAGAAGGUGAAGAACUAGAAGAGAGCAAGAGCAGAGAGAGAGGUAGAGAGAGGUAGAGAGAGAAAGAGAGAAGCUUGUAAGAAUAUCUCUAUCUCUCAACAGCAAUGGGGAGAGAGAGAGAGAGAGAGAGCCGAAAAGGCUAAUGGGGGAAUGAAGGAAGACAAGGCCAAGGGAAAGUCAUUUUAUUGCCGAGUGUCAGUGGAAGCUAUUGAGCUGUUUU
This 313-nucleotide long non-coding RNA is filed under the name Malus domestica (apple). RNAcentral describes it as "long non-coding RNA (MDOM_LNC011722)". The record is from RNAcentral. Lineage: Eukaryota; Viridiplantae; Streptophyta; Magnoliopsida; Rosales; Rosaceae.